CGCUCUUCUCCCCCUCCCUCCCCCGCACCCAGCCCUCCUCGCACCCGCAAUCUUCUCUCGGCACCAAAACAAACCUGCUGGGCGUGUGACAUGUGGUUGUCUUUGCAGUUCAUUCGUGGCCUUUGUGGAAUAGGAGCACUGCUCGUAAGGUGACCGGCAGGAGCGGAAAGGAAAGACUCCUUAAGAUUUUCCGGAGAGGUCCGAGCUGGCUGCAUUUAGUUUCCAAGAAACUGGAUCGUGCUUUUACUGCUUUAAUUUUGGGAAAUUUUGAGGAGUCUUGCAUUUCUAAUCCUCCAGUCAUCGAUCCAUUUUGGCGUUGAAAAUUGGUGGGGAUAAAAGGCAACUGAUUUCCUGGCCUUUGACAAUCUAGUUAAGUAUCUGACUGACAGGAUGUUGGCACCAGCUUUGGAGGAAUCGAUCAGCCUCAACUCAAGCUCUCUGUCCUGAGACACAACAGCAGGAUGUGCCUUGGAGAAGGGUCUCAGGGUGGAGAAUUUGGAACUGAAUCAAAAUCUACACACUCAGGGAGCUGCGGUUCACAAGGUUGAGGUAAGAUG
Molecule: non-coding RNA, 557 nt
Organism: Podarcis muralis (Common wall lizard)
Lineage: Eukaryota; Metazoa; Chordata; Lepidosauria; Squamata; Lacertidae
Source: RefSeq, a predicted model, not a curated record